GGCGAACGGGUGAGUAACACGUGAGUAACCUGCCCUUGACUUUGGGAUAACUUCAGGAAACUGGGGCUAAUACCGGAUAGGAGCUCCUGCUGCAUGGUGGGGGUUGGAAAGUUUCGGCGGUUGGGGAUGGACUCGCGGCUUAUCAGCUUGCUGGUGGGGUAGUGGCUUACCAAGGCUUUGACGGGUAGCCGGCCUGAGAGGGUGACCGGCCACAUUGGGACUGAGAUACGGCCCAG
This 236-nucleotide ribosomal RNA is filed under the name uncultured Actinomycetales bacterium. RNAcentral describes it as "partial 16S ribosomal RNA". It matches the Rfam family "Bacterial small subunit ribosomal RNA", at positions 97 to 334 of the family's 1533-position model. Lineage: Bacteria; Bacillati; Actinomycetota; Actinomycetes; Actinomycetales. The record is from RNAcentral.